Molecule: ribosomal RNA, 495 nt
Filed under: uncultured bacterium
Lineage: Bacteria
Description: bacterial SSU rRNA
Rfam family: Bacterial small subunit ribosomal RNA
Source: RNAcentral
AUUGAACGCUGGCGGCAUGCCUAACACAUGCAAGUCGAACGGCAGCACAGAUAUAGUUUACUAUAUUGGGUGGCGAGUGGCGGACGGGUGAGUAACGCGUGGGUAUAUAACCUAAAGACGGGGACAACUUGCGGAAACGCGAGCUAAUACCGGAUAAGCUCUGAGGAGAAAAGCUGGGGAUCUGGCGACAGACCUGGCGCUUUAGGAGUAACCUGCGUCCAAUUAGCUAGUUGGUAGGGUAAAGGCCUACCAAGGCGACGAUUGGUAGCUGGUCUGAGAGGAUGAUCAGCCACACUGGCACUGAGAUACGGGCCAGACUCCUACGGGAGGCAGCAGUGAGGAAUAUUGCGCAAUGGGCGAAAGCCUGACGCAGCGACGCCGCGUGGGGGAUGAAGGUUUUCGGAUUGUAAACCCCUUUCAUGAGGAAAGAUAAAGUGGGUAACCACUUAGACGGUACCUCAAGAAGAAGCCACGGCUAACUUCGUGCCAGCAGCC